CCAGACUCCUACGGGAGGCAGCAGUGGGGAAUAUUGGGCAAUGGGCGCAAGCCUGACCCAGCAACGCCGCGUGAAGGAAGAAGGCUUUCGGGUUGUAAACUUCUUUUAAGAGGGAAGAGAAGAAGACGGUACCUCUUGAAUAAGCCACGGCUAACUACGUGCCAGCAGCCGCGGUAAUACGUAGGUGGCAAGCGUUGUCCGGAUUUACUGGGUGUAAAGGGCGUGCAGCCGGGCUGACAAGUCAGAUGUGAAAUCCCGCGGCUCAACCUUGGAACUGCAUUUGAAACUGUUGGUCUUGAGUAUCGGAGAGGCAGGCGGAAUUCCUAGUGUAGCGGUGAAAUGCGUAGAUAUUAGGAGGAACACCAGUGGCGAAGGCGGCUUACUGGACUGUAACUGACGUUGAGGCUCGAAAGCGUGGGGAGCAAACAGGAUUAGAUACCCGUGUA
This 446-nucleotide ribosomal RNA is filed under the name uncultured bacterium. RNAcentral describes it as "partial 16S ribosomal RNA". It matches the Rfam family "Bacterial small subunit ribosomal RNA", at positions 331 to 792 of the family's 1533-position model. The record is from RNAcentral.